Molecule: long non-coding RNA, 531 nt
Organism: Pelmatolapia mariae (spotted tilapia)
Lineage: Eukaryota; Metazoa; Chordata; Actinopteri; Cichliformes; Cichlidae
Exons: 3
Source: RefSeq, a predicted model, not a curated record
UCUGAUUUUUCUCAACAUCUUUACAGAGUAGGAUAUUUGUCACAGAAACAAAAAUGGGCAAACUGGAAGAGGUCAUGGAAAAACUUCUUGAUGUAUUUCAGCAAGGUAACCCAAAAGACAAAAAAAUAAAGAAUGCAGACCUGAAGAGAAUCCUGAAUAAUGAUUUGGAAAAAUGGUCGAAGGACCACCCGGGCAAGAUAAAAAACUUCUUGGAAAAGCUGGACAAAAACCCAGGCAGUAGUUUGGAUUUUGCGCAGUUUGUUCACUAUGUGACUCAGCUGAUGAUAGCUUGUGAUAGCUACUUUAAAAAUUAGACUCCUGCACAUGUAGCUUAAACAUUAGCAUGUUGCUAACACAGAAAGUGGAAAUGGAGAAUAUCUUAACUUCACUCUGUUCAAUGAAAAAUACCCUCCACUCAACCCUUUUUACUGUAUUGUUGUAAUGUAACCAUAAAAGCACAAAAUAUGCAUCUCAUCACAUAAGUCUUUGCCCCCCCCCCAAAAAAAACAACCCAAAAACAAAACUAAAUGA